Molecule: ribosomal RNA, 454 nt
Filed under: uncultured bacterium
Lineage: Bacteria
Description: partial 16S ribosomal RNA
Rfam family: Bacterial small subunit ribosomal RNA
Source: RNAcentral
GAUGAACGCUGACAGAAUGCUUAACACAUGCAAGUCUACUUGAACUUCGGUUUGGGUGGCGGACGGGUGAGUAACGCGUAAAGAACUUGCCUCACAGAUAGGGACAACAUUUGGAAACGAAUGCUAAUACCUGAUAUUAUGAUUUUAGGGCAUCCUAGAAUUAUGAAAGCUAUAUGCACUGUGAGAGAGCUUUGCGUCCCAUUAGCUAGUUGGAGAGGUAACGGCUCACCAAGGCGAUGAUGGGUAGCCGGCCUGAGAGGGUGAUCGGCCACAAGGGGACGGAGACACGCCCCUUACCCCGAGGGGAGGCAGCAGUGGGAAAUAUUGGACAAUGACCAAAGAGUCGUACCAAGAAAUUCUGUGUGCAGGAUAAAUUUUUUCGGAAUUAAAAGUGUUUUCAGUUGGAAAAAAAAAAAUGACGGUACAAAAAAAAGAAGAGACGGCUAAAUCCGUC